UUAUGCUGAUGAUGAGUUGAAGUUAUUGCCUACAUUGUUUGACAAAUAUGUUAGUGAUAUAAAUACUGCAACUUCUGAGGCUUCA
Small nucleolar RNA from Lolium rigidum, 85 nucleotides. RefSeq annotates it as small nucleolar RNA SNORD34. Lineage: Eukaryota; Viridiplantae; Streptophyta; Magnoliopsida; Poales; Poaceae. The record is from RefSeq and is a predicted model, not a curated record. The transcript has a single exon.